This 499-nucleotide ribosomal RNA is filed under the name uncultured Lachnospiraceae bacterium. RNAcentral's name for it is "bacterial SSU rRNA". It matches the Rfam family "Bacterial small subunit ribosomal RNA", at positions 10 to 507 of the family's 1533-position model. The record is from RNAcentral. Lineage: Bacteria; Bacillati; Bacillota; Clostridia; Lachnospirales; Lachnospiraceae.
AGUUUGAUCCUGGCUCAGGAUGAACGCUGGCGGCGUGCCUAACACAUGCAAGUCGAACGAAGCAUACACCACGGAAGCCUCCGGGCGGAAGAGGGGUAUGACUGAGUGGCGGACGGGUGAGUAACGCGUGGGCAACCUGCCCUGUACCGGGGGAUAACACCCAGAAAUGGGUGCUAAUACCGCAUAAGCGCACAGUGCCGCAUGGCACGGUGUGAAAAACUCCGGUGGUACAGGAUGGGCCCGCGUCUGAUUAGCUAGUUGGCAGGGUAACGGCCUACCAAGGCAGCGAUCAGUAGCCGGCUUGAGAGAGUGACCGGCCACAUUGGGACUGAGACACGGCCCAAACUCCUACGGGAGGCAGCAGUGGGGAAUAUUGCACAAUGGGGGAAACCCUGAUGCAGCGACGCCGCGUGAGUGAAGAAGUAUUUCGGUAUGUAAAGCUCUAUCAGCAGGGAAGAAGAUGACGGUACCUGACUAAGAAGCCCCGGCUAACUACGUG